GGUGAACGCUAGCGACAGGCUUAACACAUGCAAGUCGAGGGGCAGCAUAAAAGUAGCAAUACUUUGGUGGCGACCGGCGCACGGGUGAGUAACGCGUAUGCAACCUACCUAUCAGAGGGGAAUAACCCGGCGAAAGUCGGACUAAAACCGCAUAAAACAGGGGCACCGCAUGGUGAUAUUUGUUAAAGAAAUUCGCUGAUAGAUGGGCAUGCGUUCCAUUAGGUAGUUGGUGAGGUAACGGCUCACCAAGCCGACGAUGGAUAGGGGAACUGAGAGGUUGGGCCCCCACACUGGUACUGAGACACGGACCAGACUCCUACGGGAGGCAGCAGUGAGGAAUAUUGGUCAAUGGGCGAGAGUCUGAACCAGCCAAGUCGCGUGAAGGAAGAAGGAUCUAUGGUUCGUAAACUUCUUUUGCAGGGGAAUAAAGUGCGGGACGUGUCCUGUUUUGUAUGUACCCUGAGAAUAAGGAUCGGCUAACUCCGUGCCAGCCGCCGCUGAAA
RNAcentral lists this ribosomal RNA (503 nucleotides) under uncultured bacterium. Its description in RNAcentral is "partial 16S ribosomal RNA". It matches the Rfam family "Bacterial small subunit ribosomal RNA", at positions 28 to 523 of the family's 1533-position model. The record is from RNAcentral.